AUUGAACGCUGGCGGCAGGCCUAACACAUGCAAGUCGAGCGGUAACAGGGGAAGCUUGCUUCUCGCUGACGAGCGGCGGACGGGUGAGUAAUGUAUGGGGAUCUGCCCGAUAGAGGGGGAUAACUACUGGAAACGGUAGCUAAUACCGCAUAAUCUCUUAGGAGCAAAGCAGGGGAACUUCGGUCCUUGCGCUAUCGGAUGAACCCAUAUGGGAUUAGCUAGUAGGUGAGGUAAUGGCUCACCUAGGCGACGAUCCCUAGCUGGUCUGAGAGGAUGAUCAGCCACACUGGGACUGAGACACGGCCCAGACUCCUACGGGAGGCAGCAGUGGGGAAUAUUGCACAAUGGGCGCAAGCCUGAUGCAGCCAUGCCGCGUGUAUGAAGAAGGCCCUAGGGUUGUAAAGUACUUUCAGUCGGGAGGAAGGCGUUGAUGCUAAUAUCAUCAACGAUUGACGUUACCGACAGAAGAAGCACCGGCUAACUCCGUGC
Molecule: ribosomal RNA, 489 nt
Filed under: uncultured bacterium
Lineage: Bacteria
Description: bacterial SSU rRNA
Rfam family: Bacterial small subunit ribosomal RNA
Source: RNAcentral